UUGGUGGUGGGCACAAUGGAGCGGAGCCCUGACAAGCUACAUGCUGGUGCUGCAAUAACGUGCUGAUGCUGACCAGGCUUUUGCUGUUUGCUGCAAGGACACUAGCCAGAUGAAUACCAGGUGGAUGUGGGGAGGAAGAGGCAGAUUUUUUUUCUUGUUUUCCUUCUCUAAAGCUAAUUACGAUGAUUGUGGAUAUAGAAGAGAGGAGAAAUUGUUUACACAUGAAGGCACCAAUUUCCUUCUGUGGCUUGUUUGAAGCUUGUGUCUGGGAAACCUUGCAAUAAUCUCCACAUGCCAGGUCACCCAGAAUAGCAGCACUCAGUGGCAGCUUCAAGACUGGCCCUGAAGUAGAGGACUGGACCUCAACUUCAGCCCUAAUGCCAUUGCUGCCAUUCAAAAAGAUCACCUCACCCCAUUUCCCAAGGCACGACUGUCCUGCAAACAAGGAUGCCCCAGGAUAUGCUGCCCACCGCCUACAUUGAUGUGGUCUUCUCUUUCUGUUGACAGGGCCCUGAGGGCUACCUGAGGCUGCUCCCAGUCACAUGAGGCCUUCAUUCUUGAAGUGGCUUUGAAGAAUCCUUCUGAAGCCUCUGAACAUCACACCAAAGCAUGGCCCAUUUUCACAUGAGUUUUGGAGGCUCUAGAGCAGUGAAGCCUCCGGUGGUGCAGUGUUUAGAAUGCAGAAUUGCAGGCUACUGUACUUCUGCUGCCUGCUGGCUGCCUGCAAUUUGGCAAUUCGAAUCUCACCAGGCUCAAAGUUAAUUCAACCUUCCAUCCUUCUGAGACUUGUCAACAAGAUGGAAGCAAGUCAUUGUUUUCUAGAAUGAGACCUGGUGGCACAAAUAAAAAGACCUGUCUCUGCUAUAGACUAAUGAUGUGGCUAUACUUGUCAUCUUGUGGAGAUAUGACUGAACUGGGUGCUGUUGACAAACAUCACCGUUGUAGGAUAUGUUUGCUUUAUAGUUUCUGAAACUAUUCAACAGAAAAGACAGCUGUCUCUGCUAGGUAGCUGAGCUGUCAAGUGAAAGCAAGACAAAUCAUGAAAAAUAGUUUCCUAAUAAAUAUUUCUAUGUUUGACACUUCCAUUAAA
This is a non-coding RNA of Pantherophis guttatus, 1090 nucleotides long. The record is from RefSeq and is a predicted model, not a curated record. Lineage: Eukaryota; Metazoa; Chordata; Lepidosauria; Squamata; Colubridae.